UGGCGGCGUGCUUAACACAUGCAAGUCGAACGAUGAAGCCCUUCGGGGUGGAUUAGUGGCGAACGGGUGAGUAACACGUGGGCAAUCUGCCCUUCACUCUGGGACAAGCCCUGGAAACGGGGUCUAAUACCGGAUACCACUCCUGCCCGCAUGGGCGGGGGUUGAAAGCUCCGGCGGUGAAGGAUGAGCCCGCGGCCUAUCAGCUUGUUGGUGGGGUAAUGGCCCACCAAGGCGACGACGGGUAGCCGGCCUGAGAGGGCGACCGGCCACACUGGGACUGAGACACGGCCCAGACUCCUACGGGAGGCAGCAGUGGGGAAUAUUGCACAAUGGGCGAAAGCCUGAUGCAGCGACGCCGCGUGAGGGAUGACGGCCUUCGGGUUGUAAACCUCUUUCAGCAGGGAAGAAGCGAAAGUGACGGUACCUGCAGAAGAAGCGCCGGCUAACUACGUGCCAGCAGCCGCGGUAAUACGUAGGGCGCAAGCGUUGUCCGGAAUUAUUGGGCGUAAAGAGCUCGUAGGCGGCUUGUCACGUCGGAUGUGAAAGCCCGAGGCUUAACCUCGGGUCUGCAUUCGAUACGGGCUAGCUAGAGUGUGGUAGGGGAGAUCGGAAUUCCUGGUGUAGCGGUGAAAUGCGCAGAUAUCAGGAGGAACACCGGUGGCGAAGGCGGAUCUCUGGGCCAUUACUGACGCUGAGGAGCGAAAGCGUGGGGAGCGAACAGGAUUAGAUACCCUGGUAGUCCACGCCGUAAACGUUGGGAACUAGGUGUUGGCGACAUUCCACGUCGUCGGUGCCGCAGCUAACGCA
Molecule: ribosomal RNA, 807 nt
Filed under: Streptomycetaceae bacterium
Lineage: Bacteria; Bacillati; Actinomycetota; Actinomycetes; Kitasatosporales; Streptomycetaceae
Description: bacterial SSU rRNA
Rfam family: Bacterial small subunit ribosomal RNA
Source: RNAcentral